AGCAGCCGCCGCGGGAAUACGUAGGUCCCGAGCGUUGUCCGGAUUUAUUGGGCGUAAAGCGUGCGCAGGCGGUUAGAUAAGUCUGAAGUUAAAGGCUGUGGCUUAACCAUAGUACGCUUUGGAAACUGUUUAACUUGAGUGCAAGAGGGGAGAGUGGAAUUCCAUGUGUAGCGGUGAAAUGCGUAGAUAUAUGGAGGAACACCGGUGGCGAAAGCGGCUCUCUGGCUUGUAACUGACGCUGAGGCUCGAAAGCGUGGGGAGCAAACAGGAUUAGAUACCCCCGUAGUCCCUGUCUCUUAUACA
Molecule: ribosomal RNA, 303 nt
Filed under: uncultured bacterium
Lineage: Bacteria
Description: partial 16S ribosomal RNA
Rfam family: Bacterial small subunit ribosomal RNA
Source: RNAcentral